This 464-nucleotide ribosomal RNA is filed under the name uncultured bacterium. RNAcentral's name for it is "partial 16S ribosomal RNA". It matches the Rfam family "Bacterial small subunit ribosomal RNA", at positions 28 to 507 of the family's 1533-position model. The record is from RNAcentral.
GACGAACGCUGGCGGCGUGCUUAACACAUGCAAGUCGAACGGAAAGGCCCCUUUGGGGGUACUCGAGUGGCGAACGGGUGAGUAACACGUGCGUAACCUGCCCUUGACUUCGGGAUAACUUCAGGAAACUGGGGCUAAUACCGGAUAGGAAUCCUUGCUGCAUGGUGGGGGUUGGAAAGCUUCGGCGGUUUUGGAUGGACUCGCGGCUUAUCAGCUUGUUGGUGGGGUAGUGGCUUACCAAGGCUUUGACGGGUAGCCGGCCUGAGAGGGCGACCGGCCACAUUGGGACUAAGAUAGGGCCCAGACGCCUACGGGAGGCAGCAGGGGGGAAUAUUGCACAAUGGGGGGAAGCCGGAUGCAGAAACGCCGGGUGCGGGAUAACGGCCUUCGGGUUAAAAACCGCUUUCAGCAGGGGCAAAGCUUUUGUGACGGUACCUGAAGAAGAAGCACCGGCUAACUACGUG